CCUACGGGAGGCAGCAGUGAGGAAUAUUGGACAAUGGGCGCAAGCCUGAUCCAGCCAUGCCGCGUGCAGGAAGAAGCAUCUAUGGUGUGUAAACUGCUUUUGUACAGGAAGAAACACUCCCUCGUGAGGGAGCUUGACGGUACUGUAAGAAUAAGGACCGGCUAACUCCGUGCCAGCAGCCGCGGUAAUACGGAGGGUCCGAGCGUUAUCCGGAAUCAUUGGGUUUAAAGGGUCCGUAGGCGGUUUAAUAAGUCAGUGGUGAAAUCUGGUCGCUCAACGAUCAAACGGCCAUUGAUACUGUUAGACUUGAAUUAUAAGGAAGUAACUAGAAUAUGUAGUGUAGCGGUGAAAUGCUUAGAUAUUACAUGGAAUACCAACUGCGAAGGCAGGUUACUACUUAUGGAUUGACGCUGAUGGACGAAAGCGUGGGGAGCGAACAGGAUUAGAUACCCUGGUAGUCCACGCCGUAAACGAUGGAUACUAGCUGUUCGGAGCAAUCUGAGUGNGUAGAGAAGUAGAUAAGUAUACCACCGUCGGGAGGUACGUUCGUCGAGAAGAGUAACGUUAAAGUAGUAAGUUAGUACGGACGUGAGACGUAGACCGACGGACGACGACGAGGGAGGAGG
RNAcentral lists this ribosomal RNA (626 nucleotides) under uncultured bacterium. RNAcentral's name for it is "bacterial SSU rRNA". The stretch from base 1 to 532 matches the Rfam family "Bacterial small subunit ribosomal RNA", at positions 338 to 873 of the family's 1533-position model. The record is from RNAcentral.